RNAcentral lists this ribosomal RNA (492 nucleotides) under uncultured bacterium. RNAcentral's name for it is "partial 16S ribosomal RNA". It matches the Rfam family "Bacterial small subunit ribosomal RNA", at positions 29 to 507 of the family's 1533-position model. The record is from RNAcentral.
AGUGAACGCUGGCGGUAGGCCUAACACAUGCAAGUCGAACGGCAGCACAGUAAGGGCUUGCUCUUACGGGUGGCGAGUGGCGGACGGGUGAGGAAUACAUCGGAAUCUACUUUUUCGUGGGGGAUAACGUAGGGAAACUUACGCUAAUACCGCAUACGACCUACGGGUGAAAGCAGGGGAUCUUCGGACCUUGCGCGAUUGAAUGAGCCGAUGUCGGAUUAGCUAGUUGGCGGGGUAAAGGCCCACCAAGGCGACGAUCCGUAGCUGGUCUGAGAGUAUGAUCAGCCACACUGGAACUGAGACACGGUCCAGACUCCUACGGGAGGCAGCAGUGGGGAAUAUUGGACAAUGGGCGCAAGCCUGAUCCAGCCAUACCGCGUGGGUGAAGAAGGCCUUCGGGUUGUAAAGCCCUUUUGUUGGGAAAGAAAAGCAGCAGGUUAAUACCCCGCUGUUCUGACGGUACCCAAAGAAUAAGCACCGGCUAACUUCGUG